AAAUUGAAGAGUUUGAUCAUGGCUCAGAUUGAACGCUGGCGGCAGGCCUAACACAUGCAAGUCGAACGGUAACAGGAAGCAGCUUGCUGCUUUGCUGACGAGUGGCGGACGGGUGAGUAAUGUCUGGGAAACUGCCUGAUGGAGGGGGAUAACUACUGGAAACGGUAGCUAAUACCGCAUAACGUCGCAAGACCAAAGAGGGGGACCUUCGGGCCUCUUGCCAUCGGAUGUGCCCAGAUGGGAUUAGCUAGUAGGUGGGGUAAAGGCUCACCUAGGCGACGAU
RNAcentral lists this ribosomal RNA (283 nucleotides) under Escherichia coli. RNAcentral describes it as "partial 16S ribosomal RNA". It matches the Rfam family "Bacterial small subunit ribosomal RNA", at positions 1 to 280 of the family's 1533-position model. Lineage: Bacteria; Pseudomonadati; Pseudomonadota; Gammaproteobacteria; Enterobacterales; Enterobacteriaceae. The record is from RNAcentral.